Non-coding RNA from Prunus mume (Japanese apricot), 333 nucleotides. The record is from RefSeq and is a predicted model, not a curated record. Lineage: Eukaryota; Viridiplantae; Streptophyta; Magnoliopsida; Rosales; Rosaceae.
CCGUGAAGAGGCAGCGCGGCCAGAGUCGGACGAUAGCUCAGGUCCGCAGCCACGGCGAGGAUUACGGGCGAGCUUCACUUACGACGGCGAUUCCGGCGUUCUCUCCGACGCCGUUUAUGUUUUGAUGGGAUUAAAUUAACAGUCAGCUAUUGUUGAUGCUCGAAAUUGGGUGAGAGAGAGAGAGAGAGAGAUAGAGUGUGGGUGUGUGUAUAUGAAGUUUUAGGAAAAUGACAAUUAAGUACAUGUUGAAAGUUUCUUGUAUUGUGUACCCUCGUACUCAAUUAGUGCAAUUGUAUAUUUCCCACCAUUGUUAUUAAGUUUUCAUUUUCUCUC